This 88-nucleotide transfer RNA is filed under the name Nitrosomonas sp. RNAcentral describes it as "tRNA-Leu". It matches the Rfam family "tRNA". From Rfam's summary of the family: Transfer RNA (tRNA) molecules are approximately 80 nucleotides in length. Lineage: Bacteria; Pseudomonadati; Pseudomonadota; Betaproteobacteria; Nitrosomonadales; Nitrosomonadaceae. The record is from RNAcentral.
GCCCGGGUGGUGAAAUUGGUAGACACAAGGGACUUAAAAUCCCUCGAGCAUUGCGCUCGUGCCGGUUCGAUUCCGGCCCCGGGUACCA